AAACUUGGGGAUAGAGGCUAGCCGAUGCCGUCCGAAGGCAGAGGUCACAGGUUCGAAUCCUGUCGGGUGCGCCA
RNAcentral lists this transfer RNA (74 nucleotides) under Mesorhizobium sp. RNAcentral's name for it is "tRNA-Arg". The record is from RNAcentral. Lineage: Bacteria; Pseudomonadati; Pseudomonadota; Alphaproteobacteria; Hyphomicrobiales; Phyllobacteriaceae.